UCGAGAAUCUUCGGCAAUGGGCGCAAGCCUGACCGAGCGACGCCGUGUGCGGGAUGAAGGCCUUCGGGUUGUAAACCGCUGUCAGUGGGGAGGAAGGUUCUGUGAAGAGCAGAGUUUGACCAAUCCGCAGAGGAAGUCCGGGCUAAGUUCGUGCCAGCAGCCGCGGUAAUACGAACCGGACAAACGUUAUUCGGAAUUAUUGGGCUUAAAGGGUGCGUAGGCGGCCAUUCAAGUCGGGUGUGAAAUCCCACGGCUCAACCGUGGAACUGCGCUCGAUACUGUUUGGCUUGAGGGAGACAGAGGUGAGCGGAACUGAUGGUGGAGCGGUGAAAUGCGUUGAUAUCAUCAGGAACACCGGUGGCGAAGGCGGCUCACUGGGUCUCUUCUGACGCUGAGGCACGAAAGCUAGGGUAGCGAACGGGAUUAGAUACCCGUGUAGUCC
Molecule: ribosomal RNA, 442 nt
Filed under: uncultured prokaryote
Description: bacterial SSU rRNA
Rfam family: Bacterial small subunit ribosomal RNA
Source: RNAcentral